GAUGAACGCUAGCGGCAGGCUUAACACAUGCAAGUCGAGGGGCAGCACAGAUAGCAAUAUUGGGUGGCGACCGGCAAACGGGUGCGGAACACGUACACAACCUUCCUUUUAGUGUGGGAUAGCCCAGAGAAAUUUGAAUUAAUACCACAUAGUAUAUUGGAGUGGCAUCACUUUGAUAUUAAAGAUUUAUCGCUAAAAGAUGGGUGUGCGUAUGAUUAGGUAGUUGGUAGAGGUAACGGCUCACCAAGCCUUCGAUCAUUAACUGGUGUGAGGGCAUGACCAGUCACACGGGCACUGAGACACGGGCCCGACCCCUGCGGGAGGCAGCAGUAAGGAAUAUUGGUCAAUGGACGGAAGUCUGAACCAGCCAUGCCGCGUGAAGGAUGACGGCCCUCUGGGUUGUAAACUUCUUUUAUGUGGGACGAAAAAGGGCCAUUUUUGGUCAACUGACGGUACCAUAGGAAUAAGCACCGGCUAACUCCGUGCCAGCCGCCGCGGUAA
RNAcentral lists this ribosomal RNA (501 nucleotides) under uncultured bacterium. RNAcentral describes it as "partial 16S ribosomal RNA". It matches the Rfam family "Bacterial small subunit ribosomal RNA", at positions 28 to 523 of the family's 1533-position model. The record is from RNAcentral.